UGGAGUAGCGGUUGCAGGGGUUCAAAUCGUAUCUGAUUAGAAGCCUUGAUCAUAAACAUCAAGUUCUCCAUCGAAUUAUCCAUACCUAUUGGAAGAUCGGCCAGUGCUACAUUAGUUUGAUUCCUAGAAAAGCCUCACAGAAGUGCACGAAGAUUGUAGUGUGGAAGAUCCCGUUAGGGUUCAGAUGAACCAACUCCAACUUAUUGUAAUCCAGUAAAUCUCAGAAGAAAUCUGAGGCUAGCAAUGCAAGACCUCGCUCAAUAAAGUGGGCAAAAAUUACCGUUUCGUUCAGAUACACCUCUAAAGGGCAGGCGUUGUCGAAUGAUGAUCUCUAGGCAAUAAAGUCCUGCUCUUGGAGUAGUUUGACAGCCACGAGCACCUUGAUUUCCUCCUCCUUCAAGGUUGACCGCUUCCAAGCAGCAACAGGAUUAGGCGGCGCAGUUUGAUUGGUUUUCCCAUACUUGGGCGCCGGCAACUACGGCUCCUUUUUCUUGCUGGACUUCUUC
This 506-nucleotide long non-coding RNA is filed under the name Setaria viridis. Its description in RNAcentral is "long non-coding RNA (SVIR_LNC000687)". Lineage: Eukaryota; Viridiplantae; Streptophyta; Magnoliopsida; Poales; Poaceae. The record is from RNAcentral.